This 248-nucleotide ribosomal RNA is filed under the name uncultured bacterium. RNAcentral describes it as "partial 16S ribosomal RNA". It matches the Rfam family "Bacterial small subunit ribosomal RNA", at positions 1255 to 1500 of the family's 1533-position model. The record is from RNAcentral.
UCGUGAGGCGGAGCUAAUCCCUUAAAGCCAUUCUCAGUUCGGAUUGUAGGCUGAAACUCGCCUACAUGAAGCUGGAGUUACUAGUAAUCGCAGAUCAGAAUGCUGCGGUGAAUGCGUUCCCGGGUCUUGUACACACCGCCCGUCACACCACGGAAGUUGGGGGCGCCCGAAGCCACUUAGCUAACCCUUUUGGGAAGCGAGUGUCGAAGGUGAAAUCAAUAACUGGGGUGAAGUCGUAACAAGGUAUC